Long non-coding RNA from Haliotis rubra (blacklip abalone), 538 nucleotides. RefSeq lists it as uncharacterized. The transcript is spliced from 3 exons. The record is from RefSeq and is a predicted model, not a curated record. NCBI's taxonomy places the organism in Eukaryota, Metazoa, Mollusca, Gastropoda, Lepetellida, Haliotidae.
AGCUUUCCUGAUCCCAUUCAUCUUGCUACUGCUCAUUACCGGAUUUCCAAGUUUCUUCUUAGAAUCGAUAAUCUCUCAGUUCUCGGGAAAGGGCGCCAAACAAGUUUGGAGGUUUUGUCCUUUGUUUAAAGGGAUUGGGGUCGGCGCAGUAGUAGUUGCAUGUUCUUACAUGCCCUACUACAACCUCUUCCUGGCCUGGCCCAUCUACUACAUGGUGAAGUCCUGCUCCAGCGUCCUGCCCUGGACAACGUGUAGCAACAGCUGGAACACCGACCUGUGUGUGGAAGACGUGAAUACAAUCUACGACAGCAACAUGACAACCGUGGCAGGGAAUACAUCAGAUAAAAUGACUACAGCCAAACUGUGGGAAAAUGUGACUCUGGCUCAUACACCUGCAGAGGAGUUUUGGCAGUACAAUGUACUGAGUGUCUCAACAGGCUUGGAGGAUGUGGGAUCUGUACAGUGGCACAUAGUUGGAUGUCUGUUUGUUUCAUAUAUAAUAAUAUUUCUAUGUCUUGUACGUGGAAUCAAGUCAGCU